GCCCAGCUUGCUGGGUGGAUCAGUGGCGAACGGGUGAGUAACACGUGAGCAAUCUGCCCCUGACUCUGGGAUAAGCGCUGGAAACGGCGUCUAAUACCGGAUACGAGCUGCGGCCGCAUGGUCGGCAGUUGGAAAGAUUUUUCGGUCAGGGAUGAGCUCGCGGCCUAUCAGCUUGUUGGUGAGGUAAUGGCUCACCAAGGCGUCGACGGGUAGCCGGCCUGAGAGGGUGACCGGCCACACUGGGACUGAGACACGGCCCAGACUCCUACGGGAGGCAGCAGUGGGGAAUAUUGCACAAUGGGCGGAAGCCUGAUGCAGCAACGCCGCGUGAGGGAUGACGGCCUUCGGGUUGUAAACCUCUUUUAGCAGGGAAGAAGCGAAAGUGACGGUACCUGCAGAAAAAGCGCCGGCUAACUACGUGCCAGCAGCCGCGGUAAUACGUAGGGCGCAAGCGUUAUCCGGAAUUAUUGGGCGUAAAGAGCUCGUAGGCGGUCUGUCGCGUCUGCUGUGAAAUCCCGAGGCUCAACCUCGGGUCUGCAGUGGGUACGGGCAGACUAGAGUGCGGUAGGGGAGAUUGGAAUUCCUGGUGUAGCGGUGGAAUGCGCAGAUAUCAGGAGGAACACCGAUGGCGAAGGCAGAUCUCUGGGCCGUAACUGACGCUGAGGAGCGAAAGGGUGGGGAGCAAACAGGCUUAGAUACCCUGGUAGUCCACCCCGUAAACGUUGGGAACUAGUUGUGGGGUCCAUUCCACGGAUUCCGUGACGCAGCUAACGCAUUAAGUUCCCCGCCUGGGGAGUACGGCCGCAAGGCUAAAACUCAAAGGAAUUGACGGGGACCCGCACAAGCGGCGGAGCAUGCGGAUUAAUUCGAUGCAACGCGAAGAACCUUACCAAGG
RNAcentral lists this ribosomal RNA (895 nucleotides) under Microbacterium radiodurans. RNAcentral describes it as "bacterial SSU rRNA". It matches the Rfam family "Bacterial small subunit ribosomal RNA", at positions 73 to 979 of the family's 1533-position model. Lineage: Bacteria; Bacillati; Actinomycetota; Actinomycetes; Micrococcales; Microbacteriaceae. The record is from RNAcentral.